UACGUAGGGUGCGAGCGUUAAUCGGAAUUACUGGGCGUAAAGCGUGCGUAGGCGGUUCGUUAAGUUCGUCGUGAAAGCCCCGGGCUCAACCUGGGAAUGGCGAUGGAAACUGGCGGGCUGGAGUAUGGCAGAGGGGGGUGGAAUUCCGCGUGUAGCAGUGAAAUGCGUAGAGAUGCGGAGGAACACCGAUGGCGAAGGCAGCCCCCUGGGCCAAUACUGACGCUCAGGCACGAAAGCGUGGGGAGCAAAC
Molecule: ribosomal RNA, 250 nt
Filed under: uncultured bacterium
Lineage: Bacteria
Description: partial 16S ribosomal RNA
Rfam family: Bacterial small subunit ribosomal RNA
Source: RNAcentral